Molecule: ribosomal RNA, 472 nt
Filed under: uncultured bacterium
Lineage: Bacteria
Description: bacterial SSU rRNA
Rfam family: Bacterial small subunit ribosomal RNA
Source: RNAcentral
ACGAACGUUGGCGGCGUGGAUUAGGCAUGCAAGUCGAACGAAUGCUAGCCUUGUAGCAAUACCGGGCUAGCGGAAGUGGCGAAAGGGGCAGUAAUGCAUGGGUAACCUACCUUGGGGAUGGGCAUAGCCGUUCUAACGAGCGGGUAAUUCCCAGAGAUUCGGCGGGAGGGCAUCCUUCUACCGGGAGAUGAAUUUCGCCUCGAGAGGGGCCCAUGUGCUAUUAGCUAGUUGGUGAGGUAACGGCCCACCAAGGCUAAGAUGGCUAGCGGGUGUGAGAGCACGACCCGCGCCACUGGCACUGAGACACUGGCCAGACACCUACGGGUGGCUGCAGUCGAGGAUCUUCGUCAAUGGGCGCAAGCCUGAACGAGCGACGCCGCGUGCAUGAUGAAGGCCUUCGGGUUGUAAAGUGCGAAAGUGGGGAGAAAGCCGCAAGGUUGAUCAAUCCACAGUAAGGACGGGCUAAGUUCGU